RNAcentral lists this transfer RNA (30 nucleotides) under Campylorhynchus griseus. RNAcentral describes it as "partial tRNA-Phe". Lineage: Eukaryota; Metazoa; Chordata; Aves; Passeriformes; Certhiidae. The record is from RNAcentral.
GUCCUCGUAGCUUACAGAAAGCAUGCCACU